Molecule: ribosomal RNA, 656 nt
Filed under: Dracunesia sp. 22 IA-2018
Lineage: Eukaryota; Metazoa; Arthropoda; Insecta; Hymenoptera; Bethylidae
Description: eukaryotic LSU rRNA
Rfam family: Eukaryotic large subunit ribosomal RNA (bases 461-656)
Source: RNAcentral
AAAAGAUCGAAUGGGGAGAUUCAUCGUCAGCGGCGCUGGCUUCACGGCGGCUCGUGAUGUCGCGGGGCUUCGGUCCCGCGGUACGCGGUCGCCGCGUUACGUCCGGCGUCGUCGGCGUGCACUUCUCCCCUAGUAGGACGUCGCGACCCGUUGGGUGUCGAUCUACGGCCCGGGUGGGCGUCUGUCGUGUCGCCUCGGCGCACGCGGCAAACCCCCGGCUCGCCAGUAUCGGCUGCCCGACGGUACUCCCAUGGUAUCGGGCCGCAAUUUUCGAACUGCGUCGGGCCCGUCGCAAGCGCGGUCAAUUCGUCGCGGAGGUACGGACCUAGCGCCGUCCCCGCGACUGGCCAGCUGUUGGCAGACGGUGUCCUCUGACCGGCCAAAAAAACUUCUCGAAAGUGUGAUACCGGUCGGCGACGCUACUGCUUUGGGUAAUCUCAGGACCCGUCUUGAAACACGGACCAAGGAGUCUAACAUGUGCGCGAGUCAUUGGGACCGCAAGCCUAAAGGCGAAAUGAAAGUGAAGGUCGGCCUUGCGCCGACCGAGGGAGGAUGUGUCGCGUUUUUAUUAGAUGCGACACCGCACUCCCGGGGCGUCUCGUUCUCAUCGCGAGAAGAGGCGCACCCAGAGCGUACACGUUGGGACCCGAAAGGGG